Molecule: ribosomal RNA, 497 nt
Filed under: uncultured bacterium
Lineage: Bacteria
Description: partial 16S ribosomal RNA
Rfam family: Bacterial small subunit ribosomal RNA
Source: RNAcentral
GAUGAACGCUGGCGGCGUGCCUAAUACAUGCAAGUCGAGCGAACGGACGAGAAGCUUGCUUCUCUGAUGUUAGCGGCGGACGGGUGAGUAACACGUGGAUAACCUACCUAUAAGACUGGGAUAACUUCGGGAAACCGGAGCUAAUACCGGAUAAUAUUUUGAACCGCAUGGUUCAAAAGUGAAAGACGGUCUUGCUGUCACUUAUAGAUGGAUCCGCGCUGCAUUAGCUAGUUGGUAAGGUAACGGCUUACCAAGGCAACGAUGCAUAGCCGACCUGAGAGGUGGCGGGCCCCCACGGGCACAGAGCCACGCUCCACACCCCGCCGGGGGGCAGUGGUGGGGAUCUUCCCACACGGCGCGAAGGCCUGACGGGCCAGCCCCGGGUGGUUGAGGAGGUUUUUCGGAUGUUAAAACUCUUUUAUGAGGAAAAAACAUAUGUGAAAGUAUCUGUCCCCAUCUGGCCGGUCCCUAAACGGAAACCCAGGCCUACCUCCGCC